GACGAACGCUGGCGGCGUGCUUAACACAUGCAAGUCGAACGAAGUGGCGAACGGGUGAGUAACGCGUAAUCCACCUGCACUUAAGAGGGGGACAACAGUUGGAAACGACUGCUAAUACCGCAAACUGAAGGGGGGGAUUGCGUAUGAUUAGCUAGUGGGGGGGGUAACGGCCCACCAAGGCGAUGAUCAGGAGCCGGGCUGAGAGGAUGAACGGCCACAUGGGGACUGAGACACGGCCCAGACUUCUACGGGAGGCAGCAGGGGGGAAUCUUCCGCAAUGGACGAAAGUUGGACGGAGCAACGCCGCGUGAGGGAUGACGGCCUUCGGGUUGGAAAGCUCUGUUAAGCGGGACGCGGUACCGGAAGAGAAAGCCACGGCUAACUACGUGCCAGCAGCCGCGGUAAUUC
This 408-nucleotide ribosomal RNA is filed under the name uncultured bacterium. Its description in RNAcentral is "partial 16S ribosomal RNA". It matches the Rfam family "Bacterial small subunit ribosomal RNA", at positions 28 to 526 of the family's 1533-position model. The record is from RNAcentral.